Molecule: long non-coding RNA, 441 nt
Filed under: Triticum aestivum (bread wheat)
Lineage: Eukaryota; Viridiplantae; Streptophyta; Magnoliopsida; Poales; Poaceae
Description: long non-coding RNA (TAES_LNC001808)
Source: RNAcentral
AUCCCCUAUGUCGCACGCGAGGCUCUGGUGCUACUGGGCGGCAGCGGCCCUGGUGGUACUCGACGGCGGCGGCCCCGGUGAGUCCCUCUCUCCCGCUCCCUUCCUCUCUCCCGUUCCAUCCCUCUCUCCCGCUCAUCUCCCCUGCGGCGGCGGCCCUAACCAGCAGGCGGAGCGAUGGCGGAAGGAGAGACUGCAGUACUAGGGGCAGCGGCAACAGGCCAAGAAGGGCUAGCGAGGAGCAACAAGGGCCGACAGGGAGUAGCAAGAAGGUUCAGGAGAGGAGUGCAGCAAGAGUUCAUCCCUUCCCCUGUGUAAUGUUUGGUCAAAUAGGUUCAUUUAUGUUGUCUAUUAUUUUUAAAGUUUGUUUUUGUGUUGAAAAGUGGCAAAAGAUCAAAGUCCAAAAUAAAGAGUGUCAUAAAAUCAAUUUUUACCGCCGGCUUU